Long non-coding RNA from Impatiens glandulifera, 1226 nucleotides. RefSeq lists it as uncharacterized. The transcript has 3 exons. The record is from RefSeq and is a predicted model, not a curated record. NCBI's taxonomy places the organism in Eukaryota, Viridiplantae, Streptophyta, Magnoliopsida, Ericales, Balsaminaceae.
UGAUUCCAAGAAUCGACUUACAGGCGAUGUCUGAAAAAUUUGUAAAGUCUUUAUUCUAUCUAUUGACACCCUUACAAAUUUCUGCAUUUUAACUUUACUUUUUGAAAAAGAUUGCUGAUAUAGAAAUACUUGCUUUCACUCCAAGAUAUAGAUAUAUUUAAUUCUGAAGCUAGUGAUGUUGAUAUCUAUCUUAUCUAUUUGUCGAGAUUUCAUUUUGUUCCUAAAAAUGUUUCUAGGAUUAAAGAUAAAAGGUUUCUUUUUAGGAUUUUAAUGAUAUAUAGAACUCCACUUUAUUGCUUGAACUUAUUAGGUUCUAUCUGAAAUCAUUAAUUCUACUUGUAGUCUUUCUUAAGCUGCUAAUAUUAAAUACACUUUAAUGCUUGAAACAAUUCUUAUAUAUGGGCUAAGGGAGAAGAUUGUUACUUUUUAGAGAUGGUACUUUUUAAUUUGAAUAUUCUAAGGGUUGUGUUUUAGUCCAGAAAAAUGAACUUCUGCCAUUGGGCCAACCUUACACAAAAUAAUAAACAACUAUACCUAAAUCAAUUCAUUUUUAUGAACUUUUUAGUAGCAGUUUUGCUUUUAUUUUCAUCCGGUUUAUGCAUUUUAUCAUUUGGCUAAUUUAGUUUUAUUUGAUAUGUGUAAUUUUUUUUACAUUUUAUACAUGGUGGAGGAGCUCCGUCGAAGAAAGAAACACCAGUGUCAGGAACUAGUGCAAGAAAAACUAAUACUCCAGCACCAAGAUUGAUAAGCGCUAUUGAAAUGGAGUAAAAUGUAUAUAAACUUCUUUAUAGAGCAAAGUUUUUUAUUGCGAAGUUCAUCGGAUUUUGUUGAAGAAUUGAUUUUGGAGUAGUAGUUGGCACUGAGAAAGAUGAUCGUAUCAAUUUAUAUGGUUUGGAAAUAUUAUUGUUUGUUCUCGUAGUCAACUAUUCACUCAUUCUUCUUGUUACAGAUUUUGAAGGAUGGAUCUGUAGGACCAAUUGGGAUGACUCUUGAUGCAAGUCAAUUGAAAUGUAAAUUUUUGAAAAUUCACAGCAUUAAAAAGACUUUGUUGGUGAAGGACAUUGUUUGAGUUGUAGAUGGUUCAUUACAGGGAAGACAAGAGAUUGUGAAGUUGAUAUAUAGAGGAACUGUGUAUAUAUAUGAUGAAAAUGAACUUGAAAAUAGUGGUUAUAUCGGCUGCAAAUCUCAUUUGUGUGGAAAGCUACAAAUCUCUGAUGGAAAGGGUG